Molecule: long non-coding RNA, 266 nt
Filed under: Mytilus galloprovincialis (Mediterranean mussel)
Lineage: Eukaryota; Metazoa; Mollusca; Bivalvia; Mytilida; Mytilidae
Source: RNAcentral
CGCUAAUUCCAAAAAUAUAUGGUUUCUAUACAAAAAGAUAUACAUAAGGGAUAUCAUUUUUUACUUCCGGUUUAAAAAAUGGUAUUUCCGGUAUGUUUUGAUAGUUUACGUGACACUGAUUCCAAAAAUAGAUGGUUCUAUAUACUUUUACAUUAAAUUAGUACAAAAAAUGGCUACUUCCGGUUUACAAAAGGUCACUUCCGGUUGGCUUUUUCAAGGUCACAUUGCUUGCAAUCUUUAGCAAAAAUUCCCAUGGCUUUAUCAUG